AUUGAACGCUGGCGGCAGGCUUAACACAUGCAAGUCGAGCGGGGGAAGGUAGCUUGCUACCGGACCUAGCGGCGGACGGGUGAGUAAUGCUUAGGAACCUGCCUAUUAGUGGGGGACAACAUCUCGAAAGGGAUGCUAAUACCGCAUACGUCCUACGGGAGAAAGCAGGGGAUCUUCGGACCUUGCGCUAAUAGAUGAGCCUAAGUCGGAUUAGCUAGUUGGUGGGGUAAAGGCCGACCAAGGCGACGAUCUGUAGCGGGUCCGAGAGAAUGGUCCGCAACACUGGGACUGGUACACGGCCCAGACUCCUAGGGGAUGCAGCAGUGGGGAACAUUGGACAAUGGGGGGAACCCUGAGCCACCCAUGCCGCGUGUGUGAAGAAGGCCUUAUGGUUGUAAAGCACUUUAAGCGAGGAGGAGGCUACUCUAGUUAAUACCUAGGGAUAGUGGACGUUACUCGCAGAAUAAGCACCGGCUAACUCUGUGCCAGCCGCCGCGGUAA
Molecule: ribosomal RNA, 501 nt
Filed under: uncultured bacterium
Lineage: Bacteria
Description: partial 16S ribosomal RNA
Rfam family: Bacterial small subunit ribosomal RNA
Source: RNAcentral